CUAGGAAGGAUGAACUAGUAAGUUGCAGAGCUUUCUAACAGUUUGUGAGUGAACCGGAAGAAGGGACGUUCGAGCGUGACUGUCGAAAUACAUAUUCUAUAGCUGACAGUACAGAAAAUGUUGAUUUCUCGACGUUGAUACCACCCAUCUGAGAAUCUAUAACUAAGACAUUCCUGAAUUGCAGGAAGCUUGAAGUUACUACACCCUAGUCACAGCUGUUGUUCUUCCUUACUCCAGUGCCGGACCCAAACCACCGCCAUUCGAAGAAAUACUGAGACAAAACGGUUUCAGCCGCCACGACUCCAACGAUAAAUGGCGUUCCACCGUUUCUUCUCACCUUAAUAGUAUCUUCACGACGAAUUGAGUCUCUCGUGUUGAUGAAAUGAACGGAAUUAAUUGGUUACGAACUAGU
Vespa mandarinia (Asian giant hornet) is the source of this 412-nucleotide long non-coding RNA. The record is from RefSeq and is a predicted model, not a curated record. Lineage: Eukaryota; Metazoa; Arthropoda; Insecta; Hymenoptera; Vespidae.